UGCGAUCAUACCAAAGUGAUGGAACAAAUGAAUUGGGAUCCCAUCGUAACUCCGCAGUUAAGCGUGCUUGGGAGAGAGUAGUACUAGGAUGGGUGACCUCGAAGUCCUCGUGUUGCAC
Non-coding RNA from Rhododendron molle, 118 nucleotides. Lineage: Eukaryota; Viridiplantae; Streptophyta; Magnoliopsida; Ericales; Ericaceae. The record is from the annotation of a GenBank genome assembly.